ACACUCUGGUUCUCUCAGAUGAAUAAAUCUUUGCCUUUUACUAAAGAUUUCCAUGGAGAGGAAUAACUCUGAGUUUUACACCAAUUUUUUGAGGGCUUGCCCUGGCAAGGCU
This 112-nucleotide small nuclear RNA is filed under the name Tursiops truncatus (common bottlenose dolphin). Its description in RNAcentral is "U5 spliceosomal RNA (ENSTTRG00000023680.1)". It matches the Rfam family "U5 spliceosomal RNA". From Rfam's summary of the family: U5 RNA is a component of both types of known spliceosome. The precise function of this molecule is unknown, though it is known that the 5' loop is required for splice site selection and p220 binding, and that both the 3' stem-loop and the Sm site are important for Sm protein binding and cap methylation. Lineage: Eukaryota; Metazoa; Chordata; Mammalia; Artiodactyla; Delphinidae. The record is from RNAcentral.